Molecule: non-coding RNA, 154 nt
Filed under: Blautia wexlerae
Lineage: Bacteria; Bacillati; Bacillota; Clostridia; Lachnospirales; Lachnospiraceae
Source: RNAcentral
GUUUCCAGUAAUAUGGAAUUAAAAGGGAAACCGGUGCAAGUCCGGUACGGUCCCGCCACUGUAAAAGGGAGCUUUUUAUCAUAUAUGUCACUGCUUAAGAGGCGGGAAGACGAUAAAAUGCGAUGAACUUAAGUCAGGAGACCUGCUUGCAUUA